CGGGAAUACUAAAAUUAAUUGGGAUAUAGGAAAAAGACAAAAACGAGAUUUAAAUAGUAAAUCAAGGUCACCCCCUAUCCGGGUAAUUUAUAUAAUUUCUAAUCUACCCUCACUGAUCAUGUUUAGUGAUUAAAUAUGAUUAGUUAAGUUAAUAGAUUAGUUUGAUAAUCAUUAGAAUAAAUAUUAUCAUUGGGUUCUACCAUCCCAUGAGCUGCUAAACCUUGUUGUACCGGAACGAUGCAGGCCUUAGGGCCGCCAAUUCAUUUUAGUUACCGGGAUUUUUCCUCUGUUCUUCGAUUUGGGUAUUGAUUUCUUCGAUUUAGGUUUGAUUUUUUUGUUUUUCCGAUGAAGAUGCUCAAUCUCUGGCCAGUGCUUGGAUUUUGGUCCUACUUUUCUAUCAAUAAUCAUCCUUACGCAUCUGAUGAAAAAAGGGGGAAAAUGGAAAAGAAAUACAUAAUAUUUUCUCGGUGGUCAGUUUGUUAUUUUUGUUCACCAUGCCGGGUCUUUUUGGUGAGGUUUAUUUGUUGACUACUGAUUAGGUUCUUGAUGUAACAGGUCACAUAUUGUUUGUCUUUAUUUCAUUUUUUUCCCCUUUCCUUUUUGUAGAGAACUUGUUUGUUAAAAAGUCAGUGGUAGCUUGUAUCACCAUGUUAUUGAGUGAUGGUUCUUAGUUGACUUUGUUAUCCCAUCUCUUCUCAAUUCAACUUUUCUAAUCAUCUUUUAAUUUCGUCUCUUGUCUUCCUUUCUCUUUGAUUAUCUUACUUCAGUGCAUUUUCAGUGAGAUUUUCUCCAAGGGGUUGUUUGUGUUGAGAUACUACGAAGUUUUGUGCUAUUAUUAGGACCCAGUAGUUGUUCUGCAAAGUUCUUCUUAUCUCAUAAGUUCAUCAAGCACUGGUCAUUUUAUUUUAUUUUGUAUUGCUAUUUCAUUGGCCGUUAUACCCAUGUAUGAAAUUCCUUUCUCUAUCCGGUAACUCUUAUGAUUUGGUGGAUA
Molecule: long non-coding RNA, 991 nt
Organism: Papaver somniferum (opium poppy)
Lineage: Eukaryota; Viridiplantae; Streptophyta; Magnoliopsida; Ranunculales; Papaveraceae
Exons: 2
Source: RefSeq, a predicted model, not a curated record